ACGGUCGAAUCACGCUGAAACACCGGUUCUCGUUCGAUCACCGAAGUUAAGCAUCGUAGAGCCAGGUCAGUACUUAGAUGGGGGACCGCUUGUGAACACUGGUACUGUAAG
RNAcentral lists this ribosomal RNA (111 nucleotides) under Acanthosepion pharaonis. Lineage: Eukaryota; Metazoa; Mollusca; Cephalopoda; Sepiida; Sepiidae. The record is from RNAcentral.